RNAcentral lists this transfer RNA (72 nucleotides) under Camelus bactrianus (Bactrian camel). It matches the Rfam family "tRNA". From Rfam's summary of the family: Transfer RNA (tRNA) molecules are approximately 80 nucleotides in length. Lineage: Eukaryota; Metazoa; Chordata; Mammalia; Artiodactyla; Camelidae. RNAcentral also lists the same sequence under 3 other names. The record is from Rfam by way of RNAcentral.
GAUGGUGUAGCUCAGUGGUAGAAUGUGUGCUUAGCAUGCAUGAGGUCCUGGGUUCUAUCUCCAGUACCUUCA